RNAcentral lists this ribosomal RNA (1516 nucleotides) under Acinetobacter sp. 869535. RNAcentral describes it as "bacterial LSU rRNA". It matches the Rfam family "Bacterial large subunit ribosomal RNA", at positions 1427 to 2925 of the family's 2925-position model. The record is from RNAcentral. Lineage: Bacteria; Pseudomonadati; Pseudomonadota; Gammaproteobacteria; Moraxellales; Moraxellaceae.
UGGUUAAUAUUCCAAUACUUCUGUGUAAUGCGAUGAGAGGACGGAGAAGGUUAGGUCAGCCUGGCGUUGGUUGUCCAGGUGGAAGACAGUAGGCAUGCAUCUUAGGCAAAUCCGGGGUGCUCUAUGCUGAGAGUCGAUAGCAAGCCAGUUUACUGGCGAAGUGGCCGAUACCAUACUUCCAAGAAAAGUCUCUAAGCUUCAGUUACACAGGAAUCGUACCCGAAACCGACACAGGUGGUCAGGUCGAGUAGACCAAGGCGCUUGAGAGAACUCUGCUGAAGGAACUAGGCAAAAUGGUACCGUAACUUCGGGAGAAGGUACGCUGCUGAUGGUGAUAGGACUUGCUCCUUGAGCUGUCGGCAGCCGCAGAAACCAGGCCGCUGCAACUGUUUAUUAAAAACAUAGCACUCUGCAAACACGAAAGUGGACGUAUAGGGUGUGAUGCCUGCCCGGUGCUGGAAGGUUAAUUGAUGGGGUUAGCGUAAGCGAAGCUCUUGAUCGAAGCCCCAGUAAACGGCGGCCGUAACUAUAACGGUCCUAAGGUAGCGAAAUUCCUUGUCGGGUAAGUUCCGACCUGCACGAAUGGCAUAAUGAUGGCGGCGCUGUCUCCAGCAGAGGCUCAGUGAAAUCGAAAUCGCUGUGAAGAUGCAGUGUACCCGCGGCUAGACGGAAAGACCCCGUGAACCUUUACUGCAGCUUGACACUGAACUUUGACCUUACUUGUGUAGGAUAGGUGGGAGGCUUUGAAGUAGGGACGCCAGUUCCUAUGGAGCCAUCCUUGAAAUACCACCCUGGUAAUGUUGAGGUUCUAACUCUGACCCAUAAUCUGGGUCGAGGACCGUGUCUGGUGGGUAGUUUGACUGGGGCGGUCUCCUCCUAAAGAGUAACGGAGGAGUACGAAGGUGCGCUCAGCGUGGUCGGAAAUCACGCGUAGAGUAUAAAGGCAAAAGCGCGCUUAACUGCGAGACCCACAAGUCGAGCAGGUACGAAAGUAGGUCUUAGUGAUCCGGUGGUUCUGUAUGGAAGGGCCAUCGCUCAACGGAUAAAAGGUACUCUGGGGAUAACAGGCUGAUACCGCCCAAGAGUUCAUAUCGACGGCGGUGUUUGGCACCUCGAUGUCGGCUCAUCUCAUCCUGGGGCUGAAGCAGGUCCCAAGGGUAUGGCUGUUCGCCAUUUAAAGAGGUACGCGAGCUGGGUUUAGAACGUCGUGAGACAGUUCGGUCCCUAUCUACCGUGGGCGCUGGAAAUUUGAGAGGAUCUGCUCCUAGUACGAGAGGACCAGAGUGGAUGAACCUCUGGUGUACCGGUUGUGACGCCAGUCGCAUCGCCGGGUAGCUAUGUUCGGAAGGGAUAACCGCUGAAAGCAUCUAAGCGGGAAGCCUACCUCAAGAUAAGAUUUCCCCGUGACUUUAUGUCACCUAAAGAGCCGUUCAAGACCAGGACGUUGAUAGGUUGGAUGUGGAAGCAUAGUGAUAUGUGAAGCUGACCAAUACUAAUUGCUCGUGAGGCUUGACUA